This 213-nucleotide unclassified non-coding RNA is filed under the name uncultured fungus. RNAcentral describes it as "sequence contains ITS1, 5.8S rRNA gene". The stretch from base 165 to 213 matches the Rfam family "5.8S ribosomal RNA", at positions 1 to 49 of the family's 154-position model. Lineage: Eukaryota; Fungi. The record is from RNAcentral.
UCUCCGUUGGUGAACCAGCGGAGGGAUCAUUACAGAGUUUAACAACUCCCAAACCCAUGUGAAUUUACCUAUGUUGCCUCGGCGGAGCCUACCCUGUAGCCCGCCGGUGGAAUUUCAAACUCUGUUUUUUUAAUGAAAUCUGAGCGUCUUAUUUAAUAAGUCAAAACUUUCAACAACGGAUCUCUUGGUUCUGGCAUCGAUGAAGAACGCAGC